This 39-nucleotide transfer RNA is filed under the name Myodes glareolus (Bank vole). RNAcentral describes it as "partial tRNA-Trp". Lineage: Eukaryota; Metazoa; Chordata; Mammalia; Rodentia; Cricetidae. The record is from RNAcentral.
AGAAGUUUAGGAUACCCAGUCCAAGAGCCUUCAAAGCCC